AGAGUUUGAUCCUGGCUCAGGAUGAACGCUGGCGGUCUGCUUAACACAUGCAAGUCGAACGGAGUAGAAAUACUUAGUGGCGGACGGGUGAGUAACGCGUGAGAAUCUGCCUUCAGGACGGAGACAACAGUUGGAAACGACUGCUAAGCCCCGAUGAACCGAAAGGGAAAAUAUUUAUAGCCUGAAGAUGAGCUCGCGUCCGAUUAGCUAGUUGGCGGAGUAAAAGCCCACCAAGGCGACGAUCGGUAGCUGGUCUGAGAGGACGAUCAGCCACACUGGGACUGAGACACGGCCCAGACUCCCACGGGAGGCAGCAGUGGGGAAUUUUCCGCAAUGGGCGAAAGCCUGACGGAGCAAGACCGCGUGGGGGAAGAAGGCUCUUGGGUUGUAAACCCCUUUUCUCUGGGAAGAAAGUUGUGAAAGCAACCUGACGGUACCAGAGGAAUCAGCAUCGGCUAACUCCGUGCCAGCAGCCGCGGUAAGACGGAGGAUGCAAGCGUUAUCCGGAAUGAUUGGGCGUAAAGCGUCCGCAGGUGGCAGUUCAAGUCUGCUGUCAAAGACCGGGGCUUAACUUCGGAAAGGCAGUGGAAACUGAACAGCUAGAGUAUGGUAGGGGCAGAGGGAAUUCCUGGUGUAGCGGUGAAAUGCGUAGAGAUCAGGAAGAACAUCGGUGGCGAAGGCGCUCUGCUGGACCAUAACUGACACUCAGGGACGAAAGCUAGGGGAGCGAAUGGGAUUAGAUACCCCCGUAGUCC
This 755-nucleotide ribosomal RNA is filed under the name uncultured cyanobacterium. Its description in RNAcentral is "bacterial SSU rRNA". It matches the Rfam family "Bacterial small subunit ribosomal RNA", at positions 8 to 796 of the family's 1533-position model. Lineage: Bacteria; Bacillati; Cyanobacteriota. The record is from RNAcentral.